CAAAAGCAGAAAAAAGGGGGUGCUUCUCUGCUAGGGUUUCGACCCUAGCCCCUUCAUGCCGCCGCCGCCGUGGAGCCAUUGCACAUGGUGCUCGAAACCAGGAAGAACGUGCGUGGUGCGCGGCGUGCACGGAGGCUGCUGAACGUGGGCGAAGUUGCGGCAGUUAGGGUGUACGGCGAUUGAAAUUGUUGCUGCUAGGGUUCUAAUUUUUUGCUUCUAUUUUGUGUUUUCGGCUACUGGGCUGAAUUAGAUUUUGGUUAGGGUUUGUUAUUUGUAUAUUGGGUUUGGGUAGUUUAGGUUAAAAGGUUUGGGUAUUUGGAUUUUUAUCAUUGGUUUUUGGUUUUAAUUUUUAUUUAUGCGGGCCCGGGCAAAAAUUGGGCCUUACAAAGAACAUUUAGGUAAGUUUUUGGAUGUGUUUAAGCUUGAUUUUGGCUCUCCAAAAUCCAAACACUGAUACUUGAAGUACUUCUAUCUAUACAACAUUGAAAGAAUGCAAAAGUGAAUAGUAUUAAGCAGAGGUAUCAGUACCUUAGGAAGUUAUGUCAAUA
Molecule: long non-coding RNA, 548 nt
Organism: Gossypium raimondii (Peruvian cotton)
Lineage: Eukaryota; Viridiplantae; Streptophyta; Magnoliopsida; Malvales; Malvaceae
Exons: 2
Source: RefSeq, a predicted model, not a curated record